RNAcentral lists this ribosomal RNA (429 nucleotides) under Pseudomonadota bacterium. Its description in RNAcentral is "Proteobacteria bacterium partial 16S ribosomal RNA". It matches the Rfam family "Bacterial small subunit ribosomal RNA", at positions 355 to 776 of the family's 1533-position model. The record is from RNAcentral. Lineage: Bacteria; Pseudomonadati; Pseudomonadota.
UGGGGAAUAUUGGACAAUGGGCGAAAGCCUGAUCCAGCCAUGCCGCGUGUGUGAAGAAGGUCUUCGGAUUGUAAAGCACUUUAAGUUGGGAGGAAGGGCAGUAAGCGAAUACCUUGCUGUUUUGACGUUACCGACAGAAUAAGCACCGGCUAACUCUGUGCCAGCAGCCGCGGUAAUACAGAGGGUGCAAGCGUUAAUCGGAAUUACUGGGCGUAAAGCGCGCGUAGGUGGUUCGUUAAGUUGAAUGUGAAAGCCCCGGGCUCAACCUGGGAACUGCAUCAAAAACUGGCGAGCUAGAGUAGAGCAGAGGGUGGUGGAAUUGCCUGUGUAGCGGUGAAAUGCGUAGAUAUAGGAAGGAACACCAGUGGCGAAGGCGACCACCUGGGCUCAUACUGACACUGAGGUGCGAAAGCGUGGGGAGCAAACAGG